RNAcentral lists this ribosomal RNA (432 nucleotides) under uncultured bacterium. Its description in RNAcentral is "partial 16S ribosomal RNA". It matches the Rfam family "Bacterial small subunit ribosomal RNA", at positions 29 to 506 of the family's 1533-position model. The record is from RNAcentral.
AACGAACGCUGGCGGCAGGCCUAACACAUGCAAGUCGAGCGGACCCUUCGGGGUUAGCGGCGGACGGGUGAGUAACGCGUGGGAACGUGCCCUUUGCUUCGGAAUAGCCCUGGGAAACUGGGAGUAAUACCGGAUACGCCCUUUUGGGGAAAGAUUUAUCGGCGAAGGAUCGGCCCGCGUUGGAUUAGGUAGUUGGUGGGGUAAUGGCCUACCAAGCCGACGAUCCAUAGCUGGUUUGAGAGGAUGAUCAGCCACACUGGGACUGAGACACGGCCCAGACCCCACCGGGAGGGAGGAGGGGGGAAUUUUAAACAAGGGGGGAAACCCUGAUGUGCCCAGGCCGGGGGAGGGAUGAAGGCUUUAGGGUUGAAAAGCUUUUUCCCCGGGGAAGAAAAUGACGGUACCCGGAGAAGAAGCCCCGGCUAACCCCGU